UAGCCGUAAACGAUACUCGCUAGGUGUCGGCCACGGUGCGACCGUUGUCGGUGCCGUAGGGAAGCCGUGAAGCGAGCCACCUGGGAAGUACGGCCGCAAGGCUGAAACUUAAAGGAAUUGGCGGGGGGAGCACCACAACGGGUGGAGCUUGCGGUUUAAUUGGAUUCAACGCCGGAAAUCUUACCGGGACCGACAGCAACAUGAAGGCCAAGCUGAAGACUUUGCCGGAUUAGCUGAGAGGAGGUGCAUGGCGUAGUCG
RNAcentral lists this ribosomal RNA (259 nucleotides) under uncultured archaeon. Its description in RNAcentral is "partial 16S ribosomal RNA". It matches the Rfam family "Archaeal small subunit ribosomal RNA", at positions 748 to 1006 of the family's 1478-position model. The record is from RNAcentral.